UAUAUAUAUAUAUAUAUAUAUAUAUAUAUAUAUAAAAUAAUAAAGGAGAAUUCCACAGUCAUCCACCUCAUCUUUUAGAAUUUUAGACUGGAGCAAAUUAUGACUCGUGGCAAUCUCUUUACUCAUAAUUGAAAGUCGGUUUCUCUCUGAAUGGGCUUGUGUCAACUGAAAAACUAAAUGGGUUUAACUUUUAUCAGUCUGGUCCAAGUGUUAUUACGUUUCUUCCCUAUCGAUGCUCGACUUGCGGAGAACCACCGUGUCUCUUCAUAUUUCACAGCCUCCAGACCACUUUUGUAUAAUUCCACUUCCUGGCAUUAAAUUGGCUUCAUCUUUUUUCAGACUAAACGAUUGAAGCUCCGCCUAUAUAUGAACACAAGCGUUUUGGUUUGAACCAAUAUCUUCAAUGCUCUUAGCUCAACUAGAAAUAAAUUUAUUUAAUCAUCUCCAUUCGAUUAUAGGUAUUGGCACUACCAGAGGCCUCGCCUCUUCUCACUUUCUAUCCGUUGAAAGAUUUUCCGACUAUCACUCCACGGUCGAGUUAUUGCAGUCGUGGGGAUCAAUAACCUCAAUGGCAAAGCUUUGUAUAUCCUCAAUGUGGUUGCUUCUGUCGGGCCCGGUUCAUGGAUGUUCCUUCUCUCACUCUCCAAGGUCUUUCCCAAAUUGAAGAUGUGAGUUCUGCGUGUAUGUUUUGGAAUACUCAUACUAUUCAGCUUUUAAGUGUUGCUCUCCACGAUUAAUUGGGCUAUUUGUAAGGCUAUUGAUCUGCUGGAACUUCUAAAGAUAGAAGAGGAAAUGCUUUCCGCACAAUCAAGGAAAACAGUUAAAGUUAUUGCUUUCUUUACAUCGCAAAUACCUCUUUGUUAAGCAUAAAAACUAAGAAAGUGUUACUUAAAUCCCAUAAUUUGAAUGGGGAAGCUAAUUUUUUUUCAGUGUGCUCUUGAUGUUCGCACAUAGAAAGCUGAAAUCUGUGGCAUACAGAUACUGCUAAGAGGCAAUACUCUAGACCGGCACAACCAAUCACUUUUGCCACAUUUGCACAAGAUGUGUUACAAGGGAGUGCUCAAGUAUCCAGGUUCACGAACAGAAGAACCAUCCUCUUAGUGUAUCAUCGUUGAUGGAGCUCUUUCCACACAGAGAGAGAGAGGAUGAUAGCUCAGAUUUCCAUCCCAAGCAAACACAAAAUCAUACUCAUUGCUAAACUUAUACCCUUUCUGAGAUUACAAAAAAGGUGAUUCAACUUUGAGAAGAAAGGAAGCACGUCAUGGUGCAAUGAUAACCCUUUGAGAAGAGAGGAAGAAGACAAAGAAGAUAAUGCCGAAGACGAAGAAGCUGUGAUGAAAGCUAGAGCUGUCGAUGAUUGGAAGGAUUAUAAUCCAUGUCGUGCAUGUAACCAAAAACUCACAACUUGUGACUAAGAAGAUUAUAGACUGAUAUUUAACACACUGUUUCAUUUCCAUUCUUCGAAUCUUUGACCUUUUUGGGUUUUUGAGAGACAAACCAACUACCAUUAAAGCACAGCUGUUGUUAUACAAGUUAUGUGACCUCUAAUACAUAUUUUCUUUCUUUUUUUUUUCUCAUA
Brassica napus (rape) is the source of this 1579-nucleotide long non-coding RNA. RefSeq lists it as uncharacterized. NCBI's taxonomy places the organism in Eukaryota, Viridiplantae, Streptophyta, Magnoliopsida, Brassicales, Brassicaceae. The transcript is spliced from 4 exons. The record is from RefSeq and is a predicted model, not a curated record.